This 253-nucleotide ribosomal RNA is filed under the name uncultured bacterium. RNAcentral describes it as "partial 16S ribosomal RNA". It matches the Rfam family "Bacterial small subunit ribosomal RNA", at positions 524 to 776 of the family's 1533-position model. The record is from RNAcentral.
GACAGAGGGUGCAAACGUUGUUCGGAAUUACUGGGCGUAAAGCGCGUGUAGGCGGUCUGCUAAGUCGGGUGUGAAAGCCCCGGGCUCAACCCGGGAAGUGCACUCGAAACUGGCAGGCUAGAGUAUCGGAGAGGUUGGUGGAAUUCUCGGUGUAGAGGUGAAAUUCGUAGAUAUCGAGAGGAACACCGGUGGCGAAGGCGGCCAACUGGACGAAUACUGACGCUGAGACUCGAAAGCGUGGGGAGCAAACGGG